GGAGAAGUACUCAAGUAGGCUCAAGAGGACGGUUUGCUAAACCGUUAGACCGGGUAACUGGUGCGAGGGUUCGAAUCCCUCCUUCUCCGCCA
Molecule: transfer RNA, 92 nt
Filed under: Alkaliphilus sp.
Lineage: Bacteria; Bacillati; Bacillota; Clostridia; Peptostreptococcales; Natronincolaceae
Description: tRNA-Ser
Rfam family: tRNA
About the family: Transfer RNA (tRNA) molecules are approximately 80 nucleotides in length. Their secondary structure includes four short double-helical elements and three loops (D, anti-codon, and T loops). Further hydrogen bonds mediate the characteristic L-shaped molecular structure. tRNAs have two regions of fundamental functional importance: the anti-codon, which is responsible for specific mRNA codon recognition, and the 3' end, to which the tRNAs corresponding amino acid is attached (by aminoacyl-tRNA synthetases). tRNAs cope with the degeneracy of the genetic code in two manners: having more than one tRNA (with a specific anti-codon) for a particular amino acid; and 'wobble' base-pairing, i.e. permitting non-standard base-pairing at the 3rd anti-codon position.
Source: RNAcentral